Molecule: ribosomal RNA, 316 nt
Filed under: Diderma alpinum
Lineage: Eukaryota; Evosea; Eumycetozoa; Physariida; Didymiaceae
Description: bacterial SSU rRNA
Rfam family: Eukaryotic small subunit ribosomal RNA
Source: RNAcentral
UCUGAAUCUGCGUACGGCUCCGCAAACCAGUUGUAAACUAUAGCAAGCAUGCUCGGGAUUUGGCCCUCACGGGUUGGGUUUCGGGUGAUAAGGAUAACCCUGGUAAUUCUGAGGCUAAUACUAGAACGCAAAAACUUGACUGACCGGUUUUACUGGGAGGUUGGGGGGCGUGCAAGUGGGUUUCGCAUAGGAUAACCGGGAAGGGGUGCACGUUUGGACCGCGAUAAAGACAGACUGGUUUCGGCCGGCCUGAGCGGCACUUGCGUUGUGCUUCUGACCUAUCAACUAGAUGGCAGCGUAACGGACAUGCUAUGGU